Anopheles moucheti is the source of this 313-nucleotide long non-coding RNA. RefSeq lists it as uncharacterized. The transcript has 3 exons. NCBI's taxonomy places the organism in Eukaryota, Metazoa, Arthropoda, Insecta, Diptera, Culicidae. The record is from RefSeq and is a predicted model, not a curated record.
CCAACUACCUCCAAGUGACUGGAAAGUUAGGCCACUGAAAUCGGAAAGGCAACAUAGAGAAAAGUGGUGGAAAGUUGACCAACGCAUCGUCGAGACAAGUUGACGCUGAAAACACAUGAAGGCUACUGCGGGAUUUUGGUUAAUUUUUUGUUAUUGAAAAGUGGUUGGCACGAAGGACAAGACCAUGAACACUGCUCACGAAGAAUGAAGCGAAAAGGACAGAAAAUGAAGCAUGACCUACGCAUAACACCAUAUCUAUAACCAAGAAAAGUGCAAGUGAAAAAUAUGUUAAUAAAAGCAAUAAUAAAUUAUU